GGACUACCGGGGUAUCUAAUCCUGUUUGCUCCCCACGCUUUCGCGUCUCAGCGUCAGUCACCGUCCAGAGGGCCGCCUUCGCCACCGGUGUUCCUCCUGAUAUCUACGCAUUUCACCGCUACACCAGGAAUUCCACCCUCCUCUCCGGGACUCGAGUUCGCCAGUUUCCAAUGCCCUUCCGGGGGUGAGCCCCGGGCUUUCACAUCAGACUUAGCGGACCGCCUACACGCGCUUUACGCCCAGUGAUUCCGAACAACGCUUGCACCCUCCGUAUUACCGCGGCGGCUGGCAC
Molecule: ribosomal RNA, 292 nt
Filed under: uncultured bacterium
Lineage: Bacteria
Description: partial 16S ribosomal RNA
Source: RNAcentral